AACCGUAGACGGAAGCUAUUUAAGGCGGGCGGAAGCUUCAGCCAAUGAGAAAGCUCAGACACAGAGGAGUUCCGGUGGGAGUGCUUUCGCGGGGAGUUGAAAAAAAGCAGAGCUAACCGCAUCUGCUAUUUUCUGGUUGCGGAGGUUGGACGAAUAGAAGUCAGACCUGUAUGACAAGCACAAGGCAAAUCCUAAAAUGAAUCAAUCUUCUUUUAAAAUACUGUAGUGUCUGGGGAGAUGGCUCAACUUGGCAGAUGGUCAUCUGCCAAACAUGAUGACCUGAGUUUGAUCUCUGGAACCCAUACUAUAGAAGGAGAGAGCCAGCUCCUGCAAGUUGUCCUCUGAAUUCCACACAUGAGAAGUGUUACUUCACUCCCAAAUAAGUAAACAAAAUGUAAUAAAACAUUUACAGCA
Long non-coding RNA from Mesocricetus auratus (golden hamster), 414 nucleotides. RefSeq lists it as uncharacterized. The record is from RefSeq and is a predicted model, not a curated record. Lineage: Eukaryota; Metazoa; Chordata; Mammalia; Rodentia; Cricetidae. The transcript is spliced from 2 exons.